GAUGGACGCUGGCGGCGUGCCUAAUACAUGCAUGUCGAGCGAACAGAUGAGGAGCUUGCUCCUCUGACGUUAGCGGCGGACGGGUGAGUAACACGUGGAUAACCUACCUAUAAGACUGGGAUAACUUCGGGAAACCGGAGCUAAUACCGGAUAAUAUAUUGAACCGCAUGGUUCAAUAGUGAAAGACGGUUUUGCUGUCACUUAUAGAUGGAUCCGCGCCGCAUUAGCUAGUUGGUAAGGUAACGGCUUACCAAGGCAACGAUGCGUAGCCGACCUGAGAGGGUGAUCGGCCACACUGGAACUGAGACACGGUCCAGACUCCUACGGGAGGCAGCAGUAGGGAAUCUUCCGCAAUGGGCGAAAGCCUGACGGAGCAACGCCGCGUGAGUGAUGAAGGUCUUCGGAUCGUAAAACUCUGUUAUUAGGGAAGAACAAAUGUGUAAGUAACUAUGCACGUCUUGACGGUACCUAAUCAGAAAGCCACGGCUAACUACGUG
Molecule: ribosomal RNA, 497 nt
Filed under: uncultured bacterium
Lineage: Bacteria
Description: partial 16S ribosomal RNA
Rfam family: Bacterial small subunit ribosomal RNA
Source: RNAcentral